RNAcentral lists this ribosomal RNA (429 nucleotides) under Gemmatimonadota bacterium. RNAcentral's name for it is "Gemmatimonadetes bacterium partial 16S ribosomal RNA". It matches the Rfam family "Bacterial small subunit ribosomal RNA", at positions 355 to 776 of the family's 1533-position model. The record is from RNAcentral. Lineage: Bacteria; Pseudomonadati; Gemmatimonadota.
UAGGGAAUCUUCUGCAAUGGACGAAAGUCUGACCGAGCAACGCCGCGUGAGUGAAGAAGGUUUUCGGAUCGUAAAACUCUGUUGUUAGAGAAGAACAAGGACGUUAGUAACUGAACGUCCCCUGACGGUAUCUAACCAGAAAGCCACGGCUAACUACGUGCCAGCAGCCGCGGUAAUACGUAGGUGGCAAGCGUUGUCCGGAUUUAUUGGGCGUAAAGCGAGCGCAGGCGGUUUCUUAAGUCUGAUGUGAAAGCCCCCGGCUCAACCGGGGAGGGUCAUUGGAAACUGGGAGACUUGAGUGCAGAAGAGGAGGGUGGAAUUCCAUGUGUAGCAGUGAAAUGCGUAGGUAUAUGGAGGAACACCAGUGGCGAAGGCGGCUCUCUGGUCUGUAACUGACGCUGAGGCUCGAAAGCGUGGGGAGCAAACAGG